UGAAGAACUUCCUAUUAGACAUAAAAUAUUUUGAUUUCUAUAUGUGAAGAAAUCUACUUCAAUACAUAUAUCAUGAUUGUAUCAAUACUGAUCAUCAUUGGUUAGAUACAAUCACUGAAUCGCAUAUAGAUUAGAUUAACAAUUGUGAUGAAUUAAGAAUCCUAGAUGAAUUAUCUGAGUUAUCCUUAACAUCUCAUAUGGAUUAGAUUAGCAAUAACAAUUAGUGGAUCCUGAUAACAUACAUUAGCAACAAA
RNAcentral lists this unclassified non-coding RNA (254 nucleotides) under Hevea brasiliensis (rubber tree). The record is from RNAcentral. Lineage: Eukaryota; Viridiplantae; Streptophyta; Magnoliopsida; Malpighiales; Euphorbiaceae.